UACGUAGGGGGCUAGCGUUGUCCGGAAUCAUUGGGCGUAAAGAGCGUGUAGGCGGCCCGGUAAGUCCGCUGUAAAAGUCAAAGGCUCAACCUUUGAAUGUCAGUGGAUACUGCCGGGCUAGAGUCCGGAAGAGGCGAGUGGAACUCCUGGUGUAGCGGUGGAAUGCGCAGAUAUCAGGAGGAACACCAAUGGCGAAGGCAGCUCGCUGGGACGGUACUGACGCUGAGGCGCGAAAGCGUGGGGAGCAAACAGG
This 253-nucleotide ribosomal RNA is filed under the name uncultured bacterium. Its description in RNAcentral is "partial 16S ribosomal RNA". It matches the Rfam family "Bacterial small subunit ribosomal RNA", at positions 524 to 776 of the family's 1533-position model. The record is from RNAcentral.